CCUACGGGUGGCAGCAGUGGGGAAUAUUGCGCAAUGGGCGAAAGCCUGACGCAGCGACGCCGCGUGAGGGAUGAAGGUCUUCGGAUCGUAAACCUCUGUCAGCAGGGAAGAACGGUCACUGUGCUAAUCAGCAGUGAAUUGACGUUACCUGCAAAGGAAGCACCGGCUAACUCCGUGCCAGCAGCCGCGGUAAUACGGAGGGUGCGAGCGUUAAUCGGAAUUACUGGGCGUAAAGCGCUCGUAGGCGGUAUGUCAAGUCAAGGGUGAAAGCCCCGCGCUCAACGUGGGAACUGCCUUUGAAACUGGGAAACUGGAGUGUGUGAGAGGAUAGUGGAAUUCCAGGUGUAGGAGUGAAAUCCGUAGAUAUCUGGAGGAACAUCAGUGGCGAAGGCGACUAUCUGGCACAUAACUGACGCUGAGGAGCGAAAGCGUGGGUAGCAAACAGGAUUAGAUACCCGAGUAGUC
This 465-nucleotide ribosomal RNA is filed under the name uncultured bacterium. RNAcentral's name for it is "partial 16S ribosomal RNA". It matches the Rfam family "Bacterial small subunit ribosomal RNA", at positions 338 to 795 of the family's 1533-position model. The record is from RNAcentral.